Molecule: long non-coding RNA, 390 nt
Organism: Lolium rigidum
Lineage: Eukaryota; Viridiplantae; Streptophyta; Magnoliopsida; Poales; Poaceae
Exons: 3
Source: RefSeq, a predicted model, not a curated record
CCGAGAAGUGAAGGUUCGUAAGAUGCAUCAUAAGGAUUAGCACGCUGCAAGUUGAGAGCCUUUUGUUUUCAACAGUUGGGUUAUGAUCAUUGCUAGUUACCCCUAAUGCUAAGAAGGUUCAUAUUUUGGCCAAUGUUGAACAAUCACUGCUGCAAAUGGUUAGAAAGUUUUAUUGCAGAAUUUUAAUGAAGCACACUACAAGACCACAACGGAAAAAUUAAACAUGUUGCAGUCAGGACCUGUCGGUGUUGAAGUACAUGCAAAAGUUUAGAUAGAUUCCAGCUACUUAGAAGUACAUGAGUACUGACGUUAUUUUAGUCUUCCCCCUCGUUCAUAUGUAUAGAUAGAUUCUAGCUACUUAGAAGUACAUGAGUACGGAAGUUCUUUUAU